GAUGAACGCUGGCGGCGUGCCUAAUACAUGCAAGUCAAGCGAACAGACGAGGAGCUUGCUCCUCUGACGUUAGCGGCGGACGGGUGAGUAACACGUGGAUAACCUACCUAUAAGACUGGGAUAACUUCGGGAAACCGGAGCUAAUACCGGAUAAUAUAUUGAACCGCAUGGUUCAAUAGUGAAAGACGGUUUUGCUGUCACUUAUAGAUGGAUCCGCGCCGCAUUAGCUAGUUGGUAAGGUAACGGCUUACCAAGGCAACGAUGCGUAGCCGACCUGAGAGGGUGAUCGGCCACACUGGAACUGAGACACGGUCCAGACUCCUACGGGAGGCAGCAGUAGGGAAUCUUCCGCAAUGGGCGAAAGCCUGACGGAGCAACGCCGCGUGAGUGAUGAAGGUCUUCGGAUCGUAAAACUCUGUUAUUAGGGACGAACAAAUGUGUAAGUAACUAUGCACGUCUUGACGGUACCUAAUCAGAAAGCCACGGCUAACUACGUG
This 497-nucleotide ribosomal RNA is filed under the name uncultured bacterium. RNAcentral describes it as "partial 16S ribosomal RNA". It matches the Rfam family "Bacterial small subunit ribosomal RNA", at positions 28 to 507 of the family's 1533-position model. The record is from RNAcentral.